Molecule: long non-coding RNA, 12001 nt
Filed under: Populus trichocarpa (black cottonwood)
Lineage: Eukaryota; Viridiplantae; Streptophyta; Magnoliopsida; Malpighiales; Salicaceae
Description: long non-coding RNA (PTRI_LNC001245)
Source: RNAcentral
AUACAAGCAAGCACAACAAGAAAGUAGAGGGGAGGAAGCCUCAACCCAUCAAACCGCAACCCUGCAAUCAGACUAGCUAGCAGCACCGAAGCUUGGAAUCUCAUCAACUCUAGCAAACCAACUCUGCGAUUAUCAGCAGCCCAACCUAAAAUCACAGCAGCCAAAGGCAGCCUCAAGGGAGCUUCCACAGCUAACAAAUAUUCCGCAGCAACCAGAAGAUCCAGAAGCCAACAGAAAAGCAAGCCUGCAAUAAUAAACCAGCAACAAACACCACCCCCACAAGGCAGUGGCCAUCGAGCAAACUUUCCACCCAGAGGCCACGCUGCCAUGAUAGCAGUCUUAUAACAGCUACACUAGACAACCGAAAGAAAUCUCAGCAAGAGAACAUCACCAAGAGCGGGACAACUACUUCUUUUCCCAAUAUCAGAUCUCGAACCAAUACUCUAUUGAAUCCUAGGCCCCUUUAUGUUACCAUCACUUGGUACCCAUCUGUAGGCAGCCACAGGGUGCACCCAUCUGCAAUAACAAGAACAGCCAGCAAAACCAAAACCAUCGACAUAAAUAUCAAUCAACAAAACAAGAGUAUAACAAGCACUUCACAUGCCCAGAGUCGAGGCAAGAGAAGUAAACAAUCGCCACAGCAAAACAGAAUCAACAGGAGCUAAUAAAGCGUAGCAGCAUCAAACAACAAAACCAGGAAGCCAACCACAAGGCAUGGCACAGCAGGGGCCAAUAUUGCCCACGAACAACCCAAAAGAGAUCAUCAUCAAGAAGGGAACAAUUUAGGAGGUCUGUCCCCUAUUACAUCUCUUUCUCAUCAACCUCUUUGCGGUUAUUGCUGAGAUUAUACAAUUUGGGAUGAUAUUUCUCUUCCUUUUAAAUAUCACUCUCCAACCAUGAGUCCUUAGAGAAUCAUUGGUUUUGCAAAAUAGUUUAUUUGUGCCUUAUAGGUACUUAACCAGUCCAUAUCCAGAAUGGCAUUAACGUCACACAACUCCAACUCCGACCAUCGAGUCCCCUUGGAGAAUCAUUGGUUUCGCAAAAUAGUUCAUUUGUGCCCUAUAGGUACUUAACCAGUCCAUACCCAGAAUAACAUCAAAGUCACACAACUCCAGUGGUAGUAAGUCCACUCUUAUCUCACUCCCUAUUAUAUCAAGCCUAACUCUCUUAUACAUAUGAACAACACAUACAUUUUCUACCCUAAAAGAGUUUUCCUAUAAGUCUAUGUGUUAUAAAGGAAUGGGCAGCCCCAAAAUCAAAUAAUAAAUGCAUAAAUAGGAAAUUUAAGUAUAAAAUACUUGUCACUACAUCAGGGGUUUUCCUAGUCUCCUCUCAUGUCAUGUAAAACACCCUAUCUUGAGUCCCGACACCUGGUGCCCCAUCACUCUGAGCUCAAGGCUGGCCUCUACUACCACUGGCCCCUGACUGUACCGUUCUAGCUAGUCGAUCCAUUAUGGUUGGCUACUGCUGACUUUGAGUCGGCUAUUGGUGACCCUGAAUAAACUCAGUCCUUUAGGGGUAGUUUAUUUGAAAACAACCCUAGAUAUCACAAUAGUAGCACCCUCAAUCUAAAUAUAGGCAAUCUUGCUAUCUAUGCUCCCCUAUAAAUAUAGCAUCGUCCUGGUGAUGCAAAACAAUUCCCUAAAUGCCUUUGCUAACACUGCACACUCGGGUGAAACUACACCUCAAGUUUGGUUGUCCGCUUGUCGACCCUUUGUGCUUUGACUAAAUCCUAUAGUUUUUCCUCCCUCUUUUCUAAUCUGGCUCAAUUGCCCCUUAUUCAUUUUUAGUGGUAGCGGCCUACCUGUAAAAUAGUUUAUAUCCUUCUGCUUCCCGAAACAAGGCUUACCCUGCUGGCCCUCUCUCAUACACGCCUCUAGGGGCUUCGCUGCUUCUAUAAGUUCUUUGGUUGUUUCAAAUAUAAAAGCUUCAAACCUUGCCUUAAUUCUUAUUGCAACCAUCUCAUAACUUCUCAAUCCUAUGCUACUCCGUAGGAAUAUAAUGCGAGAUAAAUGUGGAGAGGUCAUGAAACCAUCACUCAUAGUCCAGAACUAUCAUAUCUCCCUUCCCUGGAUUUAAGAACUCCUAUUCCUUUACCUUGUGAUGAUAUGAUGGAUAAAACUAGUGCUCAAACUGCAAUCUAAAAUUAGUCCAUGACAAAAACCCUAUUGGUCUCCUUGAUCUCAUAAUAUCUCAAACUGCAAUCUAAAAUCAGAAAGUAAAUAAGCGGCAUAGUUCACAUGUAAUCCCUCUGCUACAUAUAUUUGAUCUAUAAUAUCCUCGACUGUGUGAAAAAAUCUACUCGUUAUCUUCGCAUUCGAUUCACCUUAUACUUUUUAUAAUACACACCAAUGUAACCACACUAUCAGCUGAUGCUGCAACCACUAGCGUUGUCUGCAUUGUCGGAGACACUAAGGCAAUCAAGGCUAGUGUAUUAGGCAUCGCCUUAUCAUUACUCUUAUUAUCUGAUAUUAAAUGUUGGGUCAGCAUAUAGUGUAGGGGUUGCUGCUGCUAUUGCUAGGGGUAUUACUCUUUGUCCCUGCCGACCCAACUCCCUAGGUUGUGACACUCUAGCCUAUCUCGAGUCAACAUCACGCUCUAGUGAAAUGACUCAUCAAGUCUCGUCUAACAAGACACCAAUGGCAUCUGGGAAGCAAUAUCCUUAAGGGGUUUCUCUCAUUGUCUCUCCUCGGUUCUUUCAUAUUAAACUCGUCUCCCUAUAGAGGAUGGAUCUGUCAAUACACCUCUUCUCAUGCCAACCAUCCUGAUACCAAACAAUUGUUUGUUAAUUUCUCAUUUUAAUUUCUGAACCUAUAACAGGGCUUUAAUAUUAAUUGUAACACCCAAAAAUUCACAAUUUUAUGAUUAUUUAUUCAGAAUUACCAAAAAUUUUAACGGUGCAAUAUUUUUUUUACCAAAUGUUCAACUGAAUCUCCUUUGUAUUUUCAAUACCAAGUUAUCGAAUCAAUAAUUUCUUAACCUGCAACAUCAAUCACAAUGUACAUCCCAUCAUACAAGACUUUCAUAAAACAACCAUAGUAUUAGCUUCCAAUUUUUUAGUAGAAUUAAUAUUUUGAUAUUCCAUAGAACAAUUAUUUAAAGCUAAUUAGUCCAUGACAUGCAUCAUUUUCUUUUAGAAAAUAAAUAUGGUUAAAUAAGUAUACAACAAGACUAUAAACCAACUUAAUAAAGAAAACUUCCUUGAAUUACAUCAUUCAUAAUUAAAGAAGUUAAACAUUACAAUUUUUAAACACAAAAAUAUAUUACAAUAAAACAAAUACAUUGUUCAUUUAAACAAAAGGCUCUUAUCCAUGAAUUGCUUCUUGGCCCGAGGAUGCCAGGUACCUAAAAAUAUUCAUUAGAAGUGUGUGUGCGCGCGCGCGCGCGCACGUGUGGAUUAGAUAAAGGAUAAAUUUUACACCUUACAAAAACUAAAAAUCAUUUCUUCAUGCACAUAAAUGCAUAUAUAACAUCAAUUUAUGGAAUACUUAUCUCUAGUGCACUAUCAUCUUUACAAUAUCCUUAACAUAAGUUUUGAAUUUUAUAACGAUAUCAAAAUUUCCUUUUGUGAAGAAUAAUGUAUUUAGCUUCUAAAAAAUUGUCUGAAUUCCAUAAUUACACAUAUACCAAGGCAUUAAUCCCAUUACUCAGGGAAUUUGUUUUCUCUAAAUGCCCAUUAAACAGAGCAUAAAUUUUCUUAAUCAAGGAAUUAAAUCUUUGAUUCAUCCAUUCAUCAUGACACUAUUCUCACUCACCAGGUGAUACGAACCAAGUCAAGUUCAAAUUUGGCUUUAAAAUGUCUGCUGACUAGUUUUGCUAGAUUAGACAUAUCUCUCAAACCGUACAUCAAAACGAGCUUAAAUAAUACAAGGAGAUACUAUACACAUGGAGUUAUAUUUUGGUAUAUUUUCAGGUCAAAUAGAUUUUAAGAAUAUAUUAUUUUAGAGGGUCAAAGUUACUUUAUAAAUUUAUCAAACUAAACCUUUGUGUACUAUUUGGGACAUAUAUGGAUCUACAAGUGGCAUAUUUUUGUGAUUCAAGUUGGUAUGAAAACUAGACAUCUCAAGGUUUUUAGCCAUGUAUGGUAGGCCCAGUAAUUCAUCUAGAAAAGAAAGAAUGAUAUGUUUGAAGUCUGGACUAAAAAUCUGCUAUGAAUGUGCAAAUAUUAGAGAUUCGAGCUACAUGGAGGAAUUUUAGCAUGAAAACUUUGUUUUUAUUAUCCUAUUUUAUUUAUCUAUUUAAUGUUGAAUAAUUAUUUUUAAUUUGGGUUUGUUCUAGCCCAUUAGAAAUUGUUUAGGUGUUUUUUUUUCAUUAUUGAACUUAUGUUAGUUGAUUACUAGUUUCGGCUCAUUAGCUUGCAAUCUAAAAGAGGUCCAUUAGGGUUAGCUAGAGGAGACUAUAUUAUGUUUUUUAGCUAUAAAUUUUGGCAGCAAGUUAGAGAAUAAACAUGAGUUUUCCUUUAGCUUGUUUUUGGCAAAACAAUCUUUUUUUGCAAAGACAAAGAUUGUACACUUGCUUAUCGAAGAUUAACUAGCUUAUUGACAUCAUCCACAUACUUAGGGUUCUUAGAUCCAAGGCUAUCAAUGGGUCCAAGUCUUUUGUCAAUACCUAUAGUUCUUAGGUAUAGGGUUACCUCUGGGUCAAAGUUUGAUCAAACUUGAUUUUCAACUUUCCAAAUUGUUAUCUACUUCGUUGGGGGUUGCUUGACUUCAUGAUCAAGAGGUUUGCAUCACUUGGUAUUAGAGCUAGGCUUCAAAAAUCAAGUUAUAUCCUUUAUUUUCUUCUUGUUAGUUUUGGCUUCCUUAGGUUUAGUUUUCUUUUAUUCGGUUUUUUAUUAUUUUGUGUCUAAAGUUUAGUAGUUUAUGUCAAGGGUUCCUUAACAAAAAAUUUUGAUUUUAUUUUAUUUUGUUGCUAUCUUAGAAUAUAUUAGUAGCAUAAAGAGAAAAAACAAAAAACAUAAAAACAUUCAAAUAUCACUUUGUCGAAUCUACCACAAUACACAAAAAAGGAUAAUUUUGACCAAACCAAUACAGAAAAUUCUCAAAUUUUAUAUCCUUGUUCUAGAAGUCAUAAUCGCAUUCCAUAUGAAAUUUGAGCUCAUUUACAAAUCCUUUGCUAUAGUAACCAAUGUCAGGAUUAUAACUUGUCAGAUUCAUAUCAGAAGGAAAUCUUGGGACAAAUAAAUUCAUUAAAUUCUCAAAUUUUAUAUACUAGGCUUUAAGGUUCUAGUCACACUCCAUAUAAAAUUUAAGUUCAUUUGGAGUUCUUUUGCUAUAGAAACUAAUUUCGGGAUUGGAACUUGUCAUGAUGGUUCUAAUUCGCGUUAGUAAUUCAAACUUGUUUUAUUGCUUUUAUUUUUCAAUUAUGACAGUAUAAUAACAUCAUAAUUGAUAUAUUUAGGUUUCAUUUAAAUUUCUUUUAUAUAACCUUUGUAUCAUUUUUCUUUAAUGUCUUCAAAAACAUCCAUUUUUUCGUACAAAUAUGCUAGUUACUCAUGAAAUUGUAUUUGUAGUUUCGUCUUUACUAGUUUUUGUAUUUUUCUUGAUUCUUGAGACAUUUACACAUAUUUGGAUACAUUACUCUAAAUGUUAUAUUUGGUGUUGAUUUCAAUUAUGCAAGAGUCAAAGAAAUGUGAGAUGAGAGGAAAAAGGCAUAGCAAGCAUAUUUGAGUGAAAAGCCUAUAUUUGAGUGAAACAUGAUAGAAGUGUAAACACAUGAGGGAGCAGGUAAGGAUUAUAUAUUGCUUGUUAACUGACCAAUUUUCAUAUUCAAAGAUGUCAAAAUGAAGCAACAAUAUAGCACCACGAAAAGAAGACAGUGAAAUUGUAACUUAGUUACGCAUUAUAAAUCAAUGGAUGGAUAAAAUGACCAAUAAAUUUGGAGAUAGAUUGGAUAGGUUAGAGAAGCAACAUGUUAAUGAUCAUGGUAGGGUUCAAAUUAGGCUUGAGUAAAGAGAAUUUAAUGUUAGAAGGGUUAUUAGGCGAGUAAACACUAAUGUGGAUGAUAAUGCAGACAUGAGUGAUGUUGAUUUUGAAGAUGUGUCUGUGGGACAGAGGGGAUGUUUUGGACAACAACAAAAUUUUCAUUUUAUAGAGGGAAAUAUGGUGAUAAUUUUCACUAGAGGGGUAAUUAUAGGUACCAGGACUAUAAUGCUGAGUUAGAUGGAGAUUUGGGUACAAUUAAGCUGAAAAUAUUGGCUUUUCAAAUGAAGAAUGAUCCUGAAUUUUAUUUAGAAUGGGAGAAGAAGGUAGAGUGGAUUUUUUAAUGUCACAAUUAUUUAGAGCACAAGAAAGUCAAGCUUAUUGUGAUUGCUUUUACUGACUAUGUCAUUAUAUGGUGGGAUCAAUUAGUGACAACCCGCAUGAGGAAUUAUGAGAGGCAAGUUGAUACUUGGGAUGAGAUGAAAUCCCUUAAGAGGAGGAGAUUUGUGUCUAGCCACUAUUAUAGAGAAUUGUAUCAAAGGUUAUAAAGUUUGAGCAAGGUACAAAGAGUGUUGAUGAGUACUUCAAGGAGAUGGAACUUUCUAUGAUUCGAGCUAAUGUUAAGGAGAAGGAUAAAAAGGUUGUUAUGCUAGAUUCAUGAAUGGCCUUAAUCAUGAUAUAACUCAUAUUGUGGGGUUGCAUCAUUAUGUGUAGUUGGAGGAGAUGAUGCAUAUGGUCAUGAAGGUGGAGAAACAGCUUAAACAAAAAGGUACCAUUCAGCAAAGCCAACCAUUAGGCUUUUUGAAACCUUGAAAACCCAAUUGGAAGGCUAAUACCAGGGGUGGUCCAUCACAGUAGAAUGAGGAGGGCAAGGCUGAAUACCCUAGAGAGAAUAAAGACACCUCGGUCAUUGUUAAAGGUAAUAAUUUUACUUCUACUUCUCAUAAUUGUGACAUUAAAUGCUUUCAUUAUCUGGGUUUUAGUCAUGUUGUUUCACAGUGUCCAAACAAAAGAGUUAUGGUUAUAAAAGUUAAUAAUAAGGUUAAGAUUGAUAGGGAGGGUGAAUUGGAAAAGAUGCUACCAUUGAAUGAUGCUGAUGAUGUUUAUGUUGAGUAUCUGGUUAAGGGAGAGGCACUUAUGGUAAAGAAAGCAUUGAAUAUAUGUCAAGGUGAAUGAUUAGGAAGGUCAAAGGGAGAACAUAUUCCACACGAGAUGUGAUGUUCAUAAUAAGUUAUGUAGCUUAAUUAUAUAUGGUGGUAGUUGCUCUAAUGUAGCUAGUACUAAAUUGGUGAGAAAGUUGAACUUACACACUACCAAACAUCCCAUACCUUAUAAAUUACAGUGGUUGAAUAAUGGUGGUGAAAUGAAAGUGAAUAAGUAGGUUUUGGUUGCUUUUUCUAUUGGUAAAUAUUAUGAUGAUGUGUUAUCUGAUGUUAUGCCAAUGCAAGCUAGUUAUUUAUUGCUUGGUAGACCAUGGUAGUAUCAUAGGAGAGUUAUGAAUGAUAGAGUGAAAAAAAAUGUAUUACUUUGAGAUGAAUGGCUAUAACUCCUGUAUCUUUGACACCUAAGCAAAUAUAUGAGGAGCAACUAAAAUUGAAGAAGGAGAAUAUGGUUAAAAAGGAGAGCUUACAUAUCAAGGGUACCUUCUUUGCUAAUAAGGUUCAUCUUGGUUUUGAUGAUGAUGUUAUUCUUUAGCUUGGUACUGAUUUGUUGACCUUAGAAGAUGUUUUUCAUCAUAUAAAUUUGAGGUCGAAUCUUUUAAAAGAAGAAUACCACAUCUCAAAAGUUCUCUUCAACUCCUUUCCAUUUAUUGUUUAUAACUUUAUAUAAUUCACCUCCCUGUGAUUCGACCCCGGUCUUGCCCGGUUAUUUAUUACUUCGACACUCCUACACUUAGGAUAAGACAUCAAUCUUUUAAUCGUGUCACCUACCUCCAUAGACAAAGUAUCCUUACCACAAUCAAUCUUUGCAUUGGCAGUUUUUAAGAAUGGUCUCCCAAACAAUAUAGGAGUGUUGUUUGAUGAAUCACAAAAAUCAUGUUUCAUAUCAAGAAUAUAAAAAUCACAUGGAAUGACCAAACUAGGACAUCUUCUAUCACACCAAGUGGGUAAACAAAACUACGAUCUGCAAGUUGUAUUACAAUGCUAGUUUUAUUCAAAGGUUCCAGACUAAGAGAAUCAUAAACAUGUUUAGGCAUAACACUAAUGAAUGCACCUAAAUCGCAUAAAGCCCUUUUAAAACUAGUAUUACCAAUAACACAUGGGAUAGUAAACGCACUUGGGUCUUUUUGCUUCAAAGGCAUAUUCUUUUGAACAACAGCAGAUACAACUUCACCCAUACUUACCAUUUUAUGACCUUUCAGUUUGAAAGCUCUCUUGGUAAUACACAACUCCUUCAAGAAUUUGGCAUACUUGGAAAUUUGCUUAAUAGCAUCAAGCAAAGGAAUGUUGAGUUCUACUUUCUUGAAAACCUCUAAAAUCUCUUUUUCUUUGUCCUCUUUCUUAGACCUAGAAGAACUCACAGGAAAUGGUGGAAUUGUUUUAAAACUGGAAUUCAUUGAGUGAGGACUUAUCUUUAGAGUGUUGGUCGUGGUUUCAAUUUAUAAAGGAGGAGGAUGUUUCUUCUUUAUAUUCAAUUCGAUUUCUAUCUCCUUUUCUUCCUUAAUCUCAAUUUAUUUCGACCUUUGCCUUUCAAGUUCUUUCCCACUUCGCAGCAUGAUCGCACUAACAUUCUCUUUUGGAUUCAAUGCUUGGGAGGGCAAUUUUCUAUUCAUUUAUGCUUCCAAUUUCCCUACACUUGAAGCUACUUGCCCCAUUUGCUUCUCCAAGUUGUGAAUACUUGACCUUGUUUCCUUUUGAAACGACAUGACAUUUUGUUGCAAGGUCACAGUGUUAAAAGCCAAAGUUUUCAUCAUCUCAUGAAGAUCAUCACUGGAUGACGACCCCAUAACAUUGGAGUUUGUGAAUGGAGGGGGCUGUCUCACUUGAUAAUCCUGUUGGGGUUGAAAUCCAUGGGGAUGGAACUGUCGACCUUGAUUGUCUUGUUGAGGCGGGUUCCCUUAGCGUAAGUUUGGAUUAUCUCUCCAUCCGGGAUUGUACGUGAAAAGGGAUCAUAUUUACGUCGGGGUUGUCCGUUGAAUCCUCCAUCAACUGCAUGAACCUGUUCAAUGUAAUCUUCUUGCAUUGUUGGGCACAUAUCUGAGGUAUGUCCUUGUAAGGAACAUAUGCUACAAACUUUCACCUGCUGUACAUUUCCACAAGCCAAAGAACGCACAAGAGAAGUAAGAUCAUUAACUUUAUUUUCAAGGUAGAAAUACUUACCUCAUUUACUCAUUUGUUUGAGAAGUCUCCACGGGUGCCAAACUGUUUCGAGUUGGCUGCCAUGUUUAAGAUCAAUUGGCGUGCAACCUCGGGUGUCUUAUCUACCAAUGCCCCUCCACUUGUAGCAUCAAUGAUACUACGGUUAGUAGGCAUCAAUCCUUCAUAGAAAUAUUGAAUGAGUAGUUGAUCGGGUAUUUGAUGAUGAGGGCAUUGAAUGCAUAGUUGCACAAAUUUUUCCCAAUACUCGAAUAAUGUCUCGCUAUGAGAUUGUCGAAUCCCACAUAUUUAUUUCCUUAUGUUGGCAACUCAAGAUGCUAGGAAAUACUUCUCAGGGAAAAUCUUCUUCAUGGCAUUCCAAGUUCCAAUGGAACCUGGGAGAAUAGAGAAAAACCAUGUCUUUGUUGCCCCUUUUAAAGAGAAAGGGAAAGCUUUCAACUUAACUUGUUCUUCGUCAACUCCAUUCGGUUUCAUGCCAACGCAAACCAUAUGAAACUCCUUGAGAUGGGUAUGAGGAUCUUCUCCUGCAAGACCAUUGAAUGUUGGUAGCAAAUGUAUAAAACCAAAUUUAAGCUCGAAGUUUACAUUAUUGUCAAUGUUUAUGCACAAUGGUUGAUUUUCCACGUUAAGAGCAGCAAGCUCCUUGAGUGUUUGUUGUUGUGCAACAGUCAUGGUGUUGACGCGAGCUUCCUUUCGUAACCUCCGUAAAGUGUUUUCUAUUUCGAGAUCCCCCUACACUUGACUUUGGUUAGUAGAACGGGUUACAUGCAUAAAUCAUCAAGGAAACUAAAAAAAAACCAACCACACAAGAGAUCGAAAUCAAUGCAAAUUGUACAAAAAUCAUACGCUACAAAACUAAAACUGCAUAGAAACCCUAGAAAACAGCAGAAUUUGGCCUCUAUAGGGUGGGGCUAGUGAUUUACCACUAGUCCUACUCAAAACAUCGUUUCCCUUCAGGAAAAAAAGAAGAUAGAUACCUAAUUCCACCAAAAAUCUAUUUUGAAUAGUACCGCUACCGUAAAUGAACAGUACCGCUGCAAGCAAAAAUUAUGUUUCUCUUUUUUUUUUAGAAAAAUAAAUAACAAUCACGGGAAAUAAAAAUAAUAGCACAAGAAUCAAUUAAAAUUACUUCCCCGGCAAUGGCGCCAAAAUUUGUUGCGAUGUUACGGUCGCACAAAUUAAUUACCCUAGCUUAAAACACAACACACAAGAUAGUAUAGAGCAAGUAAGGAGUCGAUCCCACGAGGAAGGUUCAAGAUAGAUUUUUAUGCUAGAUGAUAUGCAAUUUGAGGGGGGUUUGGAUAUUAUCUAGGCUAAAGCAAAAGAAAACAAAAAACUAUCAAACGAAAUUAAAUAAAAUCAGAAAAUUAUCAAGAGAACAAACAUUGGUCGCAAGCACACAUCCACCUACAGAAAUCAGAACUGAUCAUGGAAACGAAACAUCAAUUUAUAUUUUGAAUAUUUAUCUCUUUUUAAAAUUGGUUAGUUAACGGAUCCGCCGUAUAACUAACCUUAACCAUCAAACAACCACUGUGUCCACACUAGUAAUUUAAUUCAAUGACAGCUUUAAGAACUAGAUAAGUUGAUUAAUCAAGAAAACAUAAGUGUUCGCAGUUUAUGUUUGAUUUGAUUGAAUGUUCUCCCUAAGAUUAAUAAUGUAGAUCCGCCAUAAUUAUUAAACUCAGUUGCUUCACAAGUUCAUAUACCACAACUCCGGUUUUGAUAUCAAACUUAGCAAUAGAUUGUUUACAAUAAUAACUUAGAGUCCGCUCUAGUAAUUAAAAUAAACAAUCAUAGGAAAAAUAACCAUAGGAGAACAAAUAUAUUCAUCAUAUAAACUGAAAAGAAAAGGUAAAAUAAAUCUCACAGUUCUUGAAUUCUGAAGGUUUCCAUGUCCUUGCAACCAAGAAAAAGAGUUUAGCCUUGCAUGCUUGUUAAACAACUAAUCAAAAAGAAGGAGGAAUGCAUGAUUUCAGGUUUCUUAGAGGAAGGGGGCGUUUGUCUCUUCUUGGCUGGCUGGCCCCCUUCUGUUCUCUCAUUCUUUUUAUAUCCUAGGAAACCCUAGUCUGUAUUUUACAAAAUAGUCCUCCCUUAAGUAGAUAGUUUACAUUUAAGUACUUCAAUAACUAUUUUCCUAAAAAAGGAGAAAUAGCCUUGCAUGAAAUCUUCAAGCUUUGACUUAGAGGAGCUAAAUUGCUGAGUUUGUAUCAAUUGGACUUCUGUAACUCCAGAUAUUCAAGUCGGAAUGGUCGAACGUCAACACUGGCAGAUUGCAAGAUUUGACUUUGAAGGCUGCGAUUUCCAUGCUCUUCCUUAUUUUAUUUUCAUGCCCUAGAUUUCCAAAAAGAUAUGGAUGUUAUCUUUUUAAUGCCACUAGAAUCACUUCAUUUCGACCUCUAAAGCUCACGCUCUGCACAAAAUAUCGACUGAAGGUCAAAUCUGCCAUUUACCUCCAAUUUACUUCUUUUUGCAUCUUUCAUCCAAAAAUGCCUUCAAAACAAAAACAAAGAAUAUCAAGGCAUUUUAUAUAUAAAACAUGGGCAAAACACUAGUUAAAUGUGGGUGAAACUAUCGAAUAAUAUGGUUAUAUCAUUAGUUUAGGCCCAUUAGCUUGCAACCUAAAAGGGGUCCAUUUGGGUUAGUCAGAUGAGACUAUAUUAUGUUUUUUUAGUUUCAGAUUUGGCAAUAAUUUGGAGAAUAAACAUGAGUUUUCAUUUUGUUUGAUUGUGGCAAAACAAUCUUUUUUUACAGGGACAAAGAUCG